This 436-nucleotide ribosomal RNA is filed under the name uncultured Anaerotruncus sp. RNAcentral's name for it is "partial 16S ribosomal RNA". It matches the Rfam family "Bacterial small subunit ribosomal RNA", at positions 341 to 792 of the family's 1533-position model. The record is from RNAcentral. Lineage: Bacteria; Bacillati; Bacillota; Clostridia; Eubacteriales; Oscillospiraceae.
ACGGAAGGCAGCAGUGGGGGAUAUUGCACAAUGGGGGAAACCCUGAUGCAGCAACGCCGCGUGAGGGAAGACGGUUUUCGGAUUGUAAACCUCUGUCCUCGGUAACGAAGAAAGUGACGGUAGCCGAGGAGGAAGCCACGGCUAACUACGUGCCAGCAGCCGCGGUAAUACGUAGGUGGCGAGCGUUGUCCGGAAUUACUGGGUGUAAAGGGAGAGUAGGCGGGAUUGCAAGUCCGUUGUUAAAUCUAUCGGCUCAACCGAUGGCUGCGGCGGAAACUGUAAUUCUUGAGUGAAGUAGAGGCAGGCGGAAUUCCUAGUGUAGCGGUGAAAUGCGUAGAUAUUAGGAGGAACACCAGUGGCGAAGGCGGCCUGCUGGGCUUUAACUGACGCUGAGGCUCGAAAGUGUGGGGAGCAAACAGGAUUAGAUACCCUGGUA